GCGACUUACUGUUCGUGGCAAGCUUAACCGUAUAGGGGAGGCGAAGGGAAACCGAGUCUGAUAAGGGCGCAUAGUCGCGGGCAGUAGACCCGAAACCGG
This 99-nucleotide ribosomal RNA is filed under the name Stenotrophomonas sp. KAs 5-3. RNAcentral's name for it is "partial 23S ribosomal RNA". It matches the Rfam family "Bacterial large subunit ribosomal RNA", at positions 623 to 724 of the family's 2925-position model. Lineage: Bacteria; Pseudomonadati; Pseudomonadota; Gammaproteobacteria; Lysobacterales; Lysobacteraceae. The record is from RNAcentral.